RNAcentral lists this ribosomal RNA (468 nucleotides) under uncultured bacterium. RNAcentral's name for it is "partial 16S ribosomal RNA". It matches the Rfam family "Bacterial small subunit ribosomal RNA", at positions 28 to 507 of the family's 1533-position model. The record is from RNAcentral.
GACGAACGCUGGCGGCGUGCUUAACACAUGCAAGUCGAACGGAAAGGCCCUGCUUUUGUGGGGUGCUCGAGUGGCGAACGGGUGAGUAACACGUGAGUAACCUGCCCUUGACUUUGGGAUAACUUUAGGAAACUGGGGCUAAUACCGGAUAGGAGCUCCUGCUGCAUGGUGGGGGUUGGAAAGUUUCGGCGGUUGGGGAUGGACUCGCGGCUUAUCAGCUUGUUGGUGGGGUAGUGGCUUACCAAGGCUUUGACGGGUAGCCGGCCUGAGAGGGUGACCGGCCACAAUGGGACUGAGAUACGGCCCAGACUCCUACGGGAGGCAGCAGUGGGGAAUAUUGCACAAUGGGCGGAAGCCUGAUGCAGCAACGCCGCGUGCGGGAUGACGGCCUUCGGGUUGUAAACCGCUUUCGCCUGUGACGAAGCGUGAGUGACGGUAAUGGGUAAAGAAGCACCGGCUAACUACGUG